CAACUUGUUGGUUCGAUCCACGCUGUUCAGCUGGAUAUGUCUGCAGAAAUGGAAUUUGCUCUAAUAUACCAGAACUAACCACAACACCAAGACCAACCAUAAGUCCUACCCCAGAUAUCUAUUGUCGUCAUGAUAAAGACUGUCCUCUUGGGUAUUAUUGUUCCAGAUGGCUAAGGCGA
Molecule: long non-coding RNA, 179 nt
Organism: Saccostrea echinata
Lineage: Eukaryota; Metazoa; Mollusca; Bivalvia; Ostreida; Ostreidae
Exons: 3
Source: RefSeq, a predicted model, not a curated record